RNAcentral lists this ribosomal RNA (253 nucleotides) under uncultured bacterium. RNAcentral's name for it is "partial 16S ribosomal RNA". It matches the Rfam family "Bacterial small subunit ribosomal RNA", at positions 524 to 776 of the family's 1533-position model. The record is from RNAcentral.
UACGUAGGGGGCAAGCGUUGUCCGGAAUCAUUGGGCGUAAAGAGCGUGUAGGCGGCCCGAUAAGUCCGCUGUGAAAGUCCAGGGCUCAACCCUGGGAUGCCGGUGGAUACUGUCGGGCUCGAGUCCGGAAGAGGAGUGUGGAAUUCCUGGUGUAGCGGUGAAAUGCGCAGAUAUCAGGAAGAACACCAAUGGCGAAGGCAGCUCUCUGGGACGGUACUGACGCUGAGGCGCGAAAGCGUGGGGAGCGAACAGG